CAAUAGCGUAUAUUAAUGUUGUUGCAGUUAAAAAGCUCGUAGUUGGAUUUCUGGUGGGAGUGGCCGGUCCGCCGUAAGGUGUGUACUUGGUUGUCUCCCGUCAUCCUUGUGGGAACUGCUCUGGCAUUAAGUUGUCGGGUUAGGGAACACAUCGUUUACUGUGAAAAAAUUAGAGUGUUUAAAGCAGGCUUAUGCCGUUGAAUACAUUAGCAUGGAAUAAUAAGAUAGGACUUUGGCGUCUAUUUUGUUGGUUUGCACACCAAGGUAAUGAUUAAAAGGGGCAGUCAGGGGCACUCGUAUUCCGUCGAGAGAGGUGAAAUUCUCAGACCAAUGGAAGACGAACCACUGCGAAAGCAUUUGCCAGGGAUGUUUUCACUGAUCAAGAACGAAAGUUAGGGGAUCGAAGAUGAUCAGAUACC
RNAcentral lists this ribosomal RNA (419 nucleotides) under uncultured eukaryote. RNAcentral's name for it is "bacterial SSU rRNA". It matches the Rfam family "Eukaryotic small subunit ribosomal RNA", at positions 592 to 1016 of the family's 1831-position model. The record is from RNAcentral.